GUGGGGAAUAUUGGACAAUGGGCGAAAGCCUGAUCCAGCCAUGCCGCGUGUGUGAAGAAGGUCUUCGGAUUGUAAAGCACUUUAAGUUAGGAGGAAGGGCAGUAAGUUAAUACCUUGCUGUUUUGACGUUACCGACAGAAUAAGCACCGGCUAACUUCGUGCCAGCAGCCGCGGUAAUACGAAGGGUGCAAGCGUUAAUCGGAAUUACUGGGCGUAAAGCGCGCGUAGGUGGUUUUGUAAGUUGGAGGUGAAAUCCCCGGGCUCAACCUGGGAACUGCCUCCAAAACUGCAUGACUAGAGUACGGUAGAGGGUAGUGGAAUUUCCUGUGUAGCGGUGAAAUGCGUAGAUAUAGGAAGGAACACCAGUGGCGAAGGCGACUACCUGGACUGAUACUGACACUGAGGUGCGAAAGCGUGGGGAGCAAACAGGAUUAGAUACCCCUGUAGUCC
Molecule: ribosomal RNA, 450 nt
Filed under: uncultured bacterium
Lineage: Bacteria
Description: bacterial SSU rRNA
Rfam family: Bacterial small subunit ribosomal RNA
Source: RNAcentral